RNAcentral lists this ribosomal RNA (1382 nucleotides) under Shewanella sp. BS10. Its description in RNAcentral is "16S ribosomal RNA". It matches the Rfam family "Bacterial small subunit ribosomal RNA", at positions 60 to 1420 of the family's 1533-position model. The record is from RNAcentral. Lineage: Bacteria; Pseudomonadati; Pseudomonadota; Gammaproteobacteria; Alteromonadales; Shewanellaceae.
AGUCGAGCGGUAACAGAUAGAAGCUUGCUUUCUUUGCUGACGAGCGGCGGACGGGUGAGUAAUGCCUAGGGAACUGCCCAGUCGAGGGGGAUAACAGUUGGAAACGACUGCUAAUACCGCAUACGCCCUACGGGGGAAAGGAGGGGCUCUUCGGACCUUUCGCGAUUGGAUGUACCUAGGUGGGAUUAGCUUGUUGGUGAGGUAAGAGCUCACCAAGGCGACGAUCCCUAGCUGUUCUGAGAGGAUGAUCAGCCACACUGGGACUGAGACACGGCCCAGACUCCUACGGGAGGCAGCAGUGGGGAAUAUUGCACAAUGGGCGAAAGCCUGAUGCAGCCAUGCCGCGUGUGUGAAGAAGGCCUUCGGGUUGUAAAGCACUUUCAGCGAGGAGGAAAGGUUAACGGUUAAUACCCGUUAGCUGUGACGUUACUCGCAGAAGAAGCACCGGCUAACUUCGUGCCAGCAGCCGCGGUAAUACGAGGGGUGCAAGCGUUAAUCGGAAUUACUGGGCGUAAAGCGUACGCAGGCGGUUUGUUAAGCGAGAUGUGAAAGCCCCGGGCUCAACCUGGGAACUGCAUUUCGAACUGUCAAACCUAGAGUCUUGUAGAGGGGGGUAGAAUUUCAGGUGUAGCGGUGAAAUGCGUAGAGAUCUGAAGGACUACCGGUAGCCGAAGGGCGGCCACCUGGACAAAAUACUGACGCUCAGAUACGUAAAGCGUGAGGAGCAAACAGGAUUAGAUACCCUGGUAGUCAUGCGCCGUAAACGAUGUACUACUCGGAAUAUUGGUGGUCUUGAACACUUGGCUUCUCAAGCUAACGCAUUAAGUAGACCGCCUGGGGAGUACGGCCGCAAGGUUAAAACUCAAAUGAAUUGACGGGGGCCCGCACAAGCGGUGGAGCAUGUGGUUUAAUUCGAUGCAACGCGAAGAACCUUACCUACUCUUGACAUCCAGAGAAUUUACCAGAGAUGGAUUAGUGCCUUCGGGAACUCUGAGACAGGUGCUGCAUGGCUGUCGUCAGCUCGUGUUGUGAAAUGUUGGGUUAAGUCCCGCAACGAGCGCAACCCUUAUCCUUAUUUGCCAGCAAGUAAUGGUGGGAACUUUAGGGAGACUGCCGGUGAUAAACCGGAGGAAGGUGGGGACGACGUCAAGUCAUCAUGGCCCUUACGAGUAGGGCUACACACGUGCUACAAUGGCGAGUACAGAGGGUUGCGAAGCCGCGAGGUGAAGCUAAUCCCAGAAAGCUCGUCGUAGUCCGGAUUGGAGUCUGCAACUCGACUCCAUGAAGUCGGAAUCGCUAGUAAUCGUGGAUCAGAAUGCCACGGUGAAUACGUUCCCGGGCCUUGUACACACCGCCCGUCACACCAUGGGAGUGGGCUGCAC